CAGCAGCCACGGGAAUACGUAGGGUGCGAGCGUUGUCCGGAAUUAUUGGGCGUAAAGAGCUUGUAGGCGGUCUGUCGCGUCUGCUGUGAAAACCCGAGGCUCAACCUCGGGCCUGCAGUGGGUACGGGCAGACUAGAGUGCGGUAGGGGAGAACGGAACUCCUGGUGUAGCGGUGGAAUGCGCAGAUAUCAGGAAGAACACCGAUGGCGAAGGCAGUUCUCUGGGCCGUAACUGACGCUGAGAAGCGAAAGCGUGGGGAGCGAACAGGAUUAGAUACCCCCGUAGUCCCUGUCUCUUAUAA
Molecule: ribosomal RNA, 301 nt
Filed under: uncultured bacterium
Lineage: Bacteria
Description: partial 16S ribosomal RNA
Rfam family: Bacterial small subunit ribosomal RNA
Source: RNAcentral